RNAcentral lists this ribosomal RNA (490 nucleotides) under uncultured bacterium. RNAcentral describes it as "partial 16S ribosomal RNA". It matches the Rfam family "Bacterial small subunit ribosomal RNA", at positions 30 to 507 of the family's 1533-position model. The record is from RNAcentral.
AUUGAACGCUGGCGGCAGGCCUAACACAUGCAAGUCGAACGGUAACAGGAAGCAGCUUGCUGCUUUGCUGACGAGUGGCGGACGGGUGAGUAAUGUCUGGGAAACUGCCUGAUGGAGGGGGAUAACUACUGGAAACGGUAGCUAAUACCGCAUAACGUCGCAAGACCAAAGAGGGGGACCUUAGGGCCUCUUGCCAUCGGAUGUGCCCAGAUGGGAUUAGCUAGUAGGUGGGGUAACGGCUCACCUAGGCGACGAUCCCUAGCUGGUCUGAGAGGAUGACCAGCCAAACUGGAACUGAGACACGGUCCAGACUCCUACGGGAGGCAGCAGUGGGGAAUAUUGCACAAUGGGCGCAAGCCUGAUGCAGCCAUGCCGCGUGUAUGAAGAAGGCCUUCGGGUUGUAAAGUACUUUCAGCGGGGAGGAAGGGAGUAAAGUUAAUACCUUUGCUCAUUGACGUUACCCGCAGAAGAAGCACCGGCUAACUCCGUG